GUAAUUGCUGCUGUUGUUGAAGCAAUGUGGGAGAGAACUGCUUUUCAGAAGUGUUCUUUACACUCUAAGAGGAUGGAGGAAGCUUGGUUCAUCUGGAAGAAUUGAGGUUCUGGAAGGCCCCAAGCCCAGAGGAAGUGAUGUGGGGCACAGUAAAACUUCUGCAAGCUCUUGGUGACCUAUAGAGAGCCAGUAUCUGUCUGAUCCAAAUCUCUGUGGACCUUGUGCUGGUCGAACUGCAUGCAUUACAUGACCAGAAAUACACAGAGGAUUAAUCCGCCAGUGCUUAUUUUAAAGCAUCGUGUUGUCUCUAAAGGGCAAUGCUGUUGGCGGGCACAGCGCAGCACGAUGAAGCCAACCCCACUCAGAGGAGCAGGUCCCAAGCUGCUGGCGCCGGCCCGAGGCUUCUAAUGUGAGGAAAAACACGCGGUGACAAGUGUGGAAAAGAGCAAGCACUAAAUUACUGUCAGAAAAAUAAACGGCGGAGCGCGGCGCGGGGCGGUGAUUUACGGGGGCAAUUAGUCACCGCCCCACGGAGCCGCUGGGGCCGCCGCAGCAUCCCCGGGGCUGGCCUGGCUCCGGCUCCGGGCCCAGGCCGGCACCCAGCACGGGCAUCCAGGGCUCGUCCCGCUCCUGCCGCUCAUUUUUUGCCUACUCCAAAACCAGGGGUGUGGGAGGAGAUAGGAGCCACCCCGAAAGCCACAGCCUGUGUUUGCAGGGAAGGUGGGUGUGCCGUGGAUCUUCUUGUGGUGAGUGGCUGGUGCCCGGGUGCGGGAUGAUUAAAGAAGUGAUAAGGUACUGUUAUAUGAAAAAUACUCCUGGAGACUGAAGGCUGGAAAGCUGCUGGACUGGCUGAGAGGGUGGAGGAGGCUCCACAGCUGCUGCACAUCUUCUGGAGGUGCUGUGGGCCAUUAAGCCUCCCAGUCUUCGAGGAGGGCCAGCUUUGCUGCUAGCUGGGAGUGAACAUUAUAAACCUGUUUUUAUGCUGUUAUUUGACCAGGGUGGAGUCGAGGAGACAUGUUUUAAUUUGAAGCUAGCAGCAAAGAAAUGAUGGGCAACUCAAGCACUGUCCCAGCCUGGGACCGUGACAGUGAGCCCCCAGGCAGCAUGUUGUGGGGUUUUGUAACUUUUUGCCCCAUCAGUUCUUGUUGACCUAGCAAUCCUUACUUAGUUGGUGCCUGUAUGUCAAUUCUCAUUUUAUGAGGCCUUAUUGGGCACCUAGGCCUUGUGUCCAUCCCCUGAGCAGGGGCAGCCUUAUCUGACUGUAGAUGCUCGCUGCCAUUAGACCUGCCAGCCUGGUGUCUGGCUCCUGCAAAUAGCUGGCACUGGGAUAAUGGGAGACAGCCUGUCCCAGCUCCCUGCAACAGCUGGUGCCAGCCAACCCUGCCAGGACUGCUGCCAGCAGCAGCAGGAGUGUGCCAGGGCCUGCCCAUCCAGCAGCCGACCCAUGGCUACCACCAUGGGACAAAGGGGACACAGCAGAGCGAGUCCCUCUUGACAGGGCACCUCUUGGGAAAGACAGCUGUGUGUCUUUUGGAAGAGGAUGCAAGCUGGAGGAUGCAGAGCUGGCUCUUACAGGUCCUGGUGGUUUCAGUAAGUGACCCUCCCUCCCUGCUUGAUGGGUGGGAUGUGCCACCUACCUUUGGGAAGCACUCAAGACUUACAAAUGAUCACAGAGGCAAAGCAUCAGUGGUUAUUUUGGGGUCUGCCCUAAGCUUCUUCUUCACCUUCUAGAAGUGAUUUUGGCAGGGACAUGGGUGGGUGUGCUCAUGAGGUGUUUCUGGUGCUCCCUUUCCUUGCAAGGUGCAGUCCCACUCCCACAAGUUGUUAGGCAGCCUCCUAAUAAGUGACGUGACCAGCACGUCUCUCGUGUAAUUGUCUUCCUCCCCCUGGAAAAACUUUGUGUUCUUCAAAUAAAUAAUAAAUAUCUUUAA
Molecule: long non-coding RNA, 1931 nt
Organism: Serinus canaria (Common canary)
Lineage: Eukaryota; Metazoa; Chordata; Aves; Passeriformes; Fringillidae
Exons: 5
Source: RefSeq, a predicted model, not a curated record